Molecule: ribosomal RNA, 253 nt
Filed under: uncultured bacterium
Lineage: Bacteria
Description: partial 16S ribosomal RNA
Rfam family: Bacterial small subunit ribosomal RNA
Source: RNAcentral
UACGUAGGGGGCCAGCGUUGUCCGGAAUCAUUGGGCGUAAAGGGCGCGUAGGCGGUCCGAUAAGUCCGCUCUGAAAGCCCGGGGCUCAACCCCGGGAGGCGGGCGGAUACUGUCGGGCUAGAGUCCGGAAGAGGCAAGUGGAAUUCCUGGUGUAGCGGUGAAAUGCGCAGAUAUCAGGAGGAACACCGAUGGCGAAGGCAGCUUGCUGGGACGGUACUGACGCUGAGACGCGAAAGCGUGGGGAGCAAACAGG